This 348-nucleotide unclassified non-coding RNA is filed under the name soil metagenome. RNAcentral's name for it is "partial contains 5.8S ribosomal RNA, internal transcribed spacer 2, and large subunit ribosomal RNA". The stretch from base 1 to 120 matches the Rfam family "5.8S ribosomal RNA", at positions 35 to 154 of the family's 154-position model. The record is from RNAcentral.
GAUGAAGAACGCAGCAAAACGCGAUAAGUAAUGUGAAUUGCAGAAUUCAGUGAAUCAUCGAAUCUUUGAACGCACAUUGCGCCCGCUGGUAUUCCGGCGGGCAUGCCUGUUCGAGCGUCAUUUCAACCCUCAAGCCCCCGGGUUUGGUGUUGGGGAUCGGCUCUGCCCUUCUGGGCGGUGCCGCCCCCGAAAUACAUUGGCGGUCUCGCUGCAGCCUCCAUUGCGUAGUAGCUAACACCUCGCAACUGGAACGCGGCGCGGCCAUGCCGUAAAACCCCAACUUCUGAAUGUUGACCUCGGAUCAGGUAGGAAUACCCGCUGAACUUAAGCAUAUCAAUAAGCGGAGGA